RNAcentral lists this ribosomal RNA (401 nucleotides) under uncultured bacterium. RNAcentral describes it as "bacterial SSU rRNA". It matches the Rfam family "Bacterial small subunit ribosomal RNA", at positions 355 to 773 of the family's 1533-position model. The record is from RNAcentral.
UGGGGAAUAUUGGACAAUGGGCGCAAGCCUGAUCCAGCAAUGCCGCGUGUGUGAAGAAGGUCUUCGGAUUGUAAAGCACUUUCGGCGGGGACGAUGAUGACGGUACCCGCAGAAGAAGCCCCGGCUAACUUCGUGCCAGCGGCCGCGGUAAUACGAAGGGGGCUAGCGUUGCUCGGAAUGACUGGGCGUAAAGGGCGCGUAGGCGGAUGUUACAGUCAGGCGUGAAAUUCCUGGGCUCAACCUGGGGGCUGCGUUUGAUACGUGAUGUCUGGAGUUCGGAAGAGGGUCGUGGAAUUCCCAGUGUAGAGGUGAAAUUCGUAGAUAUUGGGAAGAACACCGGUGGCGAAGGCGGCGACCUGGUCCUGGACUGACGCUGAGGCGCGAAAGCGUGGGGAGCAAAC